This 492-nucleotide ribosomal RNA is filed under the name uncultured bacterium. Its description in RNAcentral is "partial 16S ribosomal RNA". It matches the Rfam family "Bacterial small subunit ribosomal RNA", at positions 29 to 507 of the family's 1533-position model. The record is from RNAcentral.
AGUGAACGCUGGCGGUAGGCCUAACACAUGCAAGUCGAACGGCAGCACAGUAAGAGCUUGCUCUUACGGGUGGCGAGUGGCGGACGGGUGAGGAAUACAUCGGAAUCUACUUUUUCGUGGGGGAUAACGUAGGGAAACUUACGCUAAUACCGCAUACGACCUACGGGUGAAAGCAGGGGAUCUUCGGCCCUUGCGCGAUUGAAUGAGCCGAUGUCGGAUUAGCUAGUUGGCGGGGUAAAGGCCAACCAAGGCGACGAUCCGUAGCUGGUCUGAGAGGAUGAUCAGCCACACUGGAACUGAGACACGGUCCAGACUCCUACGGGAGGCAGCAGUGGGGAAUAUUGGACAAUGGGCGCAAGCCUGAUCCAGCCAUACCGCGUGGGUGAAGAAGGCCUUCGGGUUGUAAAGCCCUUUUGUUGGGAAAGAAAAGCAGCAGGUUAAUACCCCGCUGUUCUGACGGUACCCAAAGAAUAAGCACCGGCUAACUUCGUG